CGAGCGGAAACGACACUAACAAUCCUUCGGGUGCGUUAAUGGGCGUCGAGCGGCGGACGGGUGAGUAAUGCCUAGGAAAUUGCCUUGAUGUGGGGGAUAACCAUUGGAAACGAUGGCUAAUACCGCAUGAUGCCUACGGGCCAAAGAGGGGGACCUUCGGGCCUCUCGCGUCAAGAUAUGCCUAGGUGGGAUUAGCUAGUUGGUGAGGUAAUGGCUCACCAAGGCGACGAUCCCUAGCUGGUCUGAGAGGAUGAUCAGCCACACUGGAACUGAGACACGGUCCAGACUCCUACGGGAGGCAGCAGUGGGGAAUAUUGCACAAUGGGCGAAAGCCUGAUGCAGCCAUGCCGCGUGUAUGAAGAAGGCCUUCGGGUUGUAAAGUACUUUCAGUUGUGAGGAAGGGUGUGUAGUUAAUAGCUGCGCAUCUUGACGUUAGCAACAGAAGAAGCACCGGCUAACUCCGUGCCAGCAGCCGCGGUAAUACGGAGGGUGCGAGCGUUAAUCGGAAUUACUGGGCGUAAAGCGCAUGCAGGUGGUUCAUUAAGUCAGAUGUGAAAGCCCGGGGCUCAACCUCGGAACUGCAUUUGAAACUGGUGACUAGAGUGCUGUAGAGGGGGGU
Molecule: ribosomal RNA, 619 nt
Filed under: Vibrio cyclitrophicus
Lineage: Bacteria; Pseudomonadati; Pseudomonadota; Gammaproteobacteria; Vibrionales; Vibrionaceae
Description: bacterial SSU rRNA
Rfam family: Bacterial small subunit ribosomal RNA
Source: RNAcentral